This 253-nucleotide ribosomal RNA is filed under the name uncultured bacterium. RNAcentral's name for it is "partial 16S ribosomal RNA". It matches the Rfam family "Bacterial small subunit ribosomal RNA", at positions 524 to 776 of the family's 1533-position model. The record is from RNAcentral.
UACGUAGGUGGCAAGCGUUGUCCGGAAUUAUUGGGCGUAAAGAGCUUGUAGGCGGUUUGUCGCGUCUGCUGUGAAAUUUCGGGGCUCAACCCCGAACUUGCAGUGGGUACGGGCAGACUAGAGUGUGGUAGGGGAGACUGGAAUUCCUGGUGUAGCGGUGAAAUGCGCAGAUAUCAGGAGGAACACCGAUGGCGAAGGCAGGUCUCUGGGCCACUACUGACGCCGAGAAGCGAAAGCAUGGGGAGCGAACAGG